RNAcentral lists this long non-coding RNA (551 nucleotides) under Heterocephalus glaber (naked mole-rat). RNAcentral's name for it is "lncRNA (ENSHGLG00100038722.1)". The record is from RNAcentral. Lineage: Eukaryota; Metazoa; Chordata; Mammalia; Rodentia; Bathyergidae.
CUUUUUUUUUAAUGGUAUUUUAAAUGAUAUUUUUUAAAGUAUCUGCUGCGCCUGCGGCCCUUGCUGGACACUGGAAAUCUGCUGGUCAGUGCCAAGUCCCUCCAGGAAGCAGUUUCCUUUCUUGUGGGGGUGAACGGGUGGCCAGUGAGAGGCGAAAGCUUGUGCGCACGGCUUAAGUAUCACAUGGCUUCUCUCACGGGAGGCCAGAGUAAGGAAGGAGCAACCGGAAGCUGCCUUGACUCCUGCCUUGCUGCCUUCCGCGCCUCCAGACACUCAGCCAGGAUCGGAGAGUUUGCCUCCUGAAGAUCUUCAGUUCCACAUUCUCCAUCUCACACCUGCAACCCCAGUUCAUCUCCCUCUGGACUGCUCCAGCAGCCUCCCAAACCUUCUUCCCUUUAACUCCACUGCAGACAGAGUUACCUCCCAAAAAACGCAUCUCAUCAAGCAAAUCCCCUGUUAAAAUCCUUUAAUGGCUCUCGUUAUACUCAGGGUAAAACCUAAAUCCCAUUAUAAAGGGUGCCCCAGCUGCUUCUCUGCUCAGCUUUUCAGCC